GCGAAUGGCUCAUUAAAUCAGUUAUCGUUUAUUUGAUAGUACCUUACUACAUGGAUACCUGUGGUAAUUCUAGAGCUAAUACAUGCUAAAAACCCCGACUUCAGGAAGGGGUGUAUUUAUUAGAUAAAAAACCAACGCCCUUCGGGGCUCCUUGGUGAAUCAUAAUAACUUAACGAAUCGCAUGGCCUUGCGCCGGCGAUGGUUCAUUCAAAUUUCUGCCCUAUCAACUUUCGAUGGUAGGAUAGUGGCCUACCAUGGUGGCAACGGGUAACGGGGAAUUAGGGUUCGAUUCCGGAGAGGGAGCCUGAGAAACGGCUACCACAUCCAAGGAAGGCAGCAGGCGCGCAAAUUACCCAAUCCCGAUACGGGGAGGUAGUGACAAUAAAUACUGAUACGGGGCUCUUUUGGGUCUCGUAAUUGGAAUGAGAACAAUUUAAAUCCCUUAACGAGGAACAAUUGGAGGGCAAGUCUGGUGCCAGCAGCCGCGGUAAUUCCAGCUCCAAUAGCGUAUAUUAAAGUUGUUGCAGUUAAAAAGCUCGUAGUUGAACCUUGGGCCUGGCUGGCCGGUCCGCCUCACCGCGAGUACUGGUCCGGCUGGGCCUUUCCUUCUGGGGAACCUCAUGGCCUUCACUGGCUGUGGGGGGAACCAGGACUUUUACUGUGAAAAAAUUAGAGUGUUCAAAGCAGGCCUUUGCUCGAAUACAUUAGCAUGGAAUAAUAGAAUAGGACGUGUGGUUCUAUUUUGUUGGUUUCUAGGACCGCCGUAAUGAUUAAUAGGGAUAGUCGGGGGCGUCAGUAUUCAGCUGUCAGAGGUGAAAUUCUUGGAUUUGCUGAAGACUAACUACUGCGAAAGCAUUCGCCAAGGAUGUUUUCAUUAAUCAGGGAACGAAAGUUAGGGGAUCGAAGACGAUCAGAUACCGUCGUAGUCUUAACCAUAAACUAUGCCGACUAGGGAUCGGACGGGAUUCUAUAAUGACCCGUUCGGCAC
Molecule: ribosomal RNA, 988 nt
Filed under: Penicillium freii
Lineage: Eukaryota; Fungi; Ascomycota; Eurotiomycetes; Eurotiales; Aspergillaceae
Description: SSU rRNA
Rfam family: Eukaryotic small subunit ribosomal RNA
Source: RNAcentral